RNAcentral lists this ribosomal RNA (468 nucleotides) under uncultured bacterium. RNAcentral's name for it is "partial 16S ribosomal RNA". It matches the Rfam family "Bacterial small subunit ribosomal RNA", at positions 28 to 507 of the family's 1533-position model. The record is from RNAcentral.
GACGAACGCUGGCGGUGUGCUUAACACAUGCAAGUCGAACGGAAAGGCCCUGCUUUUGUGGGGUGCUCGAGUGGCGAACGGGUGAGUAACACGUGAGUAACCUGCCCUUGACUUUGGGAUAAUUUCAGGAAACUGGGGCUAAUACCGGAUAGGAGCUCCUGCUGCAUGGUGGGGGUUGGAAAGUUUCGGCGGUUGGGGAUGGACUCGCGGCUUAUCAGCUUGUUGGUGGGGUAGUGGCUUACCAAGGCUUUGACGGGUAGCCGGCCUGAGAGGGUGACCGGCCACAUUGGGACUGAGAUACGGCCCAGACUCCUACGGGAGGCAGCAGUGGGGAAUAUUGCACAAUGGGCGGAAGCCUGAUGCAGCAACGCCGCGUGCGGGAUGACGGCCUUCGGGUUGUAAACCGCUUUCGCCUGUGACGAAGCGUGAGUGACGGUAAUGGGUAAAGAAGCACCGGCUAACUACGUG